AACGAACGCUGGCGGCAGGCUUAACACAUGCAAGUCGAGCGAAGACUUCGGUCUUAGCGGCGGACGGGUGAGUAACGCGUGGGAACGUGCCCUUUCUUUCGGAAUAGCCCAUGGAAACGUGGAUUAAUGCCGGAUACGCCCUUCGGGGGAAAGAUUUAUCGGGGAAGGAUCGGCCCGCGUUGGAUUAGGUAGUUGGUGGGGUAACGGCCUACCAAGCCGACGAUCCAUAGCUGGUUUGAGAGGAUGAUCAGCCACACUGGGACUGAGACACGGCCCAGACUCCUACGGGAGGCAGCAGUGGGGAAUCUUGGACAAUGGGGGCAACCCUGAUCCAGCCAUGCCGCGUGAACGAUGAAGGCCCUAGGGUUGUAAAGUUCUUUCAGCGGGGAAGAUAAUGACGGUACCCGCAGAAGAAGCCCCGGCUAACUCCGUGC
Molecule: ribosomal RNA, 434 nt
Filed under: uncultured bacterium
Lineage: Bacteria
Description: bacterial SSU rRNA
Rfam family: Bacterial small subunit ribosomal RNA
Source: RNAcentral